This is an RNA transcript of Electrophorus electricus (electric eel), 2406 nucleotides long. It is a transcript of the gene named CDC45 cell division cycle 45 homolog (S. cerevisiae), with no coding region annotated. The record is from RefSeq and is a predicted model, not a curated record. Lineage: Eukaryota; Metazoa; Chordata; Actinopteri; Gymnotiformes; Gymnotidae.
UGGCGCCAGUCGCAGCACGAAACUUCCGUUGAGCUGAACUACUUGGUCCUACGAACUUUUAUAACCUAUGUUUUAAAUUUACUGUUGAUAAAUAUAUUUUAAAAUGUUCGUGACAGAUAUUCGAAAAGAAUUUUAUGAUAUUGUCGUCAAUCAGAGAGUGGUUCUCCUGGUGUCGUUGGACAUCGAUGCGCUGUGUGCAUGUAAAAUUCUGCAGGCGUUGUUCCACUGCGACCAGGUCCAGUACACUCUGGUUCCUGUGACGGGAUGGGAGAACCUUGGCACUGCCUUUUUAGAACAUAAGGAGCAGUACCAGUAUUUUGUCCUAAUUAACUGUGGGGCAAAUGUGGACCUGUUGGAGACCCUGCAGCCAGAGGAGGACUCCAUCUUUUUCAUCUGUGAUACUCAUAGGCCUGUUGAUGUGGUUAACAUCUACAAUGACACUCAGAUUAAGUUGCUCAUCAAACAAGAUGAUGACCUCGGUGUGCCCUCCUACGAGGACAUUUUCCAUGACGACGAAGAUGAGGACGAGGAAGGCAACAGAGACGAUUCUGGGAAUGAGAGUGACGGUGGCGCCGAGCCAUCUGGGAAGCGUCGGCGUUUUGACGAGGCUGCCUUGGAGAGGAGGAUCGAGCGGCAGCGCGCCCGGAGAGAGUGGGAGGCUCGCAGGAGAGAGAUCCUGUUCGACUACGAGCAGUAUGAGUACCACGGAACCUCGGCUGCUAUGUUUAUGUUUGAGCUGGCAUGGGUGAUGACUAAGGACACCAAAGACAUGCUUUGGUGGAGCAUCAUCGGGCUCACUGACCAGUGGGUUCACGACAAAAUCACACAUAUGAAGUAUGUAACUGAUAUAGUCGCUUUGCAGCGACACGUCUCUCGCCACAAUCAUCGCAACGAGGAUGAGGAGAAUUCGCUUUCCAUCGACUGCAUUCGCAUCUCCUUUGAAUAUGAUUUGAGGCUGGCCUUGUACCAGCACUGGAGUCUAUACGAGAGCAUCUGCAACUCCUGCUACACCUCCUGCAACUUUAAGCUCUGGUCUAUCAAUGGCCAGAAGAAACUGCAGGAGUUCCUGGCAGACAUGGGUCUCCCACUUAAACAGGUGCGGCAGAAGUUUAACUCCAUGGACAUCUCGGUCAAGGAGAACCUGCGUGAGGUCAUCGAGGAGUCCUCGAACAAGUUUGGGAUGAAGGACAUCCGUGUGCAGACGUUCAGCGUGCACUUUGGCUUCAAGAACCGCUUCUUGGCCAGCGACGUGGUACAUGCGGCCGCUGCCCUGCUGGAGAACGUGGAGAAGGAGGAGUGUGCCACGGACAACUUCAUCAAAGCCCUGGACUGCCUCUCAAGGAGUAAUAUAGAGAGGCUGCAUGUGGGAAUUGAUCUGGCAAAGAAGAAACUCAAGGCCAUUCAGCAGACAGUCGCCAGCUGCAUCUGCACCAAUCUCCUCCUCUCACAAGGACCGUUCCUCUACUGCCAUUUACUGGAGGGUACUCCAGAUGUAAAGCUGUUCUCCAAGCCCCUGGCCCUGUCUCUGCUCUGCAAAUACCUGCUCAAGGCCUUUGUCUGCUCUACUCGGAAUAAGCGCUGUAAAGUGUUACCCCUCAUCAUGGCUGCUCCCAGGGAUGUGGAUAAAGGCACAGUGAUUGUCUUGGGCAUUCCACCGGAGUCUGAGACCUCUGACAAGAAAAACUUCUUUGGCAGGGCCUUUGAGAAGGCUGCUGAAAGCACAAGCUCAAGGGCUCUGCAUGAUCACUUCGACACAUCAAUUAUCGAGCUAAAGAUGGAGGACAGAAGCAAGUUUCUCGACGCCCUCAUCACCCUUCUGUCAUAACGCCCCCAGUGCAUGUUGGGAGUGCUACUCAAACAACACACAACCAACAAAUUGCCAGGAACUUGGACACACAUGACUGUGUAUGCCUGCGUCACAAUUCCCAGAGUUGGCCUGACUCGCAGAAAAGCUUGUUCACACACAGAGACCCUCCAGGAAUGGAAUUUUGCACUCCUUGAGAACAAAUUUGUAGUCGCAAGGCAGCUUUGCAAAUGUUGAAGUCCAAGCCCCCAGUGAGCAAGCCAAGGUUCACGGUGGCUAGGAAAAACUCCCUAGAGCACGAGGAAGAAACCUUGAAAGGAACCAAGACUCAAAGGGCGGGGGCCCAUCCUCCUUUGGCUGAUGAUGGAUGACAACGUACUGCACUCCUGAACUGGACCUUGAGGCAAAUCUCUGCUUUUUUGCAGCUCACUGUAGUAUUGUGGCACUCGCCAAGAAUCUGUUUACUUGAGCAGGCGUUCAGAAGGACGACUACAGCUUGAUGUAAAUAGCCUCAAAUGGAACCUGUCUGAUUGGAUUCAGAUGAAAAAAAAUGUUACUGCCAACACAUGUAACCUAGACGAGAACUGGUGGGAUUCUGAGCA